AGUCCUGAGGUGUUUACACAUCAAAAUGCAAGUUUGAAGUAGGGCCCAAGUGUGCCCCGGGGCUU
Molecule: transfer RNA, 65 nt
Filed under: Sceloporus merriami
Lineage: Eukaryota; Metazoa; Chordata; Lepidosauria; Squamata; Phrynosomatidae
Description: tRNA-Cys
Source: RNAcentral